RNAcentral lists this ribosomal RNA (522 nucleotides) under Leporinus sp. GSAS-2007. Its description in RNAcentral is "partial 16S ribosomal RNA". It matches the Rfam family "Bacterial large subunit ribosomal RNA", at positions 1848 to 2571 of the family's 2925-position model. The record is from RNAcentral. Lineage: Eukaryota; Metazoa; Chordata; Actinopteri; Characiformes; Anostomidae.
GGAGGUCCCACCUGCCCAGUGACUAUAAGUUAAACGGCCGCGGUAUUUUGACCGUGCUAAGGUAGCGCAAUCACUUGUCUUUUAAAUGAAGACCUGUAUGAAUGGUAUAACGAGGGCUUAACUGUCUCCCUUCUCCAGUCAAUGAAAUUGAUCUACCCGUGCAGAAGCGGGUAUAAAAAUACAAGACGAGAAGACCCUUUGGAGCUUAAGACAAAAAGUCAACCGUGUUAAGAGCCUUUAACAAAAUAGGGCUAAACUAAACAGCAACUGACCAACGUCUUCGGUUGGGGCGACCACGGGGGAAAACAAAGCCCCCAUGUGGACUGGGACAUUCCUAAAACCAAGAGACACAUCUCUAAGUCACAGAACAUCUGACCUAAAGAUCCGGCCCACAAGCCGAUCAACGAACCAAGUUACCCUAGGGAUAACAGCGCAAUCCUCUUUAAGAGUCCAUAUCGACAAGAGGGUUUACGACCUCGAUGUUGGAUCAGGACAUCCUAAUGGUGCAGCCGCUAUUAAGGG